This 64-nucleotide microRNA precursor is filed under the name Bombyx mori (domestic silkworm). RNAcentral describes it as "mir-2774 microRNA precursor family". It matches the Rfam family "mir-2774 microRNA precursor family". The record is from Rfam by way of RNAcentral. Lineage: Eukaryota; Metazoa; Arthropoda; Insecta; Lepidoptera; Bombycidae.
ACAACAUUCGGACCGUCGGUCUACCGAGCAAUUCCUGCUGGUGGAAGAUCUUUCCCUUCGUCGC